GCCCUCUUAGACCAAUUGGUAGGAGUCAUAAGCCUUAGAACCUUAGCAGUGUCAGUUCGAAUCUGACAGAGGGCACCA
This 78-nucleotide transfer RNA is filed under the name Hymenobacter sp. RNAcentral describes it as "tRNA-Leu". It matches the Rfam family "tRNA". Rfam says of the family: Transfer RNA (tRNA) molecules are approximately 80 nucleotides in length. Lineage: Bacteria; Pseudomonadati; Bacteroidota; Cytophagia; Cytophagales; Hymenobacteraceae. The record is from RNAcentral.